UACAGAGGUCUCAAGCGUUGUUCGGAUUCAUUGGGCGUAAAGGGUGCGUAGGCGGCGCGGUAAGUCGGGUGUGAAAUCUUGGAGCUUAACUCCGAAACUGCAUUCGAUACUGCCGUGCUUGAGGACUGGAGAGGAGAGUGGAAUUCCACGUGUAGCGGUGAAAUGCGUAGAGAUGUGGAGGAACACCAGUGGCGAAGGCGACUCUUUGGCCUGUAACUGACGCUGAGGCGCGAAAGCGUGGGGAGCAAACAGG
Molecule: ribosomal RNA, 253 nt
Filed under: uncultured bacterium
Lineage: Bacteria
Description: partial 16S ribosomal RNA
Rfam family: Bacterial small subunit ribosomal RNA
Source: RNAcentral